Molecule: ribosomal RNA, 484 nt
Filed under: uncultured bacterium
Lineage: Bacteria
Description: partial 16S ribosomal RNA
Rfam family: Bacterial small subunit ribosomal RNA
Source: RNAcentral
GACGAACGCUGGCGGCGUGCUUAACACAUGCAAGUCGAACGGUGAAAGCGGAGCUUGCUCCGCUGGAUCAGUGGCGAACGGGUGAGUAACACGUGGGCAACCUGCCCCUCACUUCGGGAUAACUCCGGGAAACCGGGGCUAAUACCGGAUAUGACCUCCUUGGGCAUCCUUGGAGGUGGAAAGUUUUUCGGUGAGGGAUGGGCCCGCGGCCUAUCAGCUUGUUGGUGAGGUAGUGGCUCACCAAGGCGACGACGGGUAGCCGGCCUGAGAGGGCGACCGGCCACACUGGGACUGAGACACGGCCCAGACUCCUACGGGAGGCAGCAGUGGGGAAUAUUGCGCAAUGGGCGAAAGCCUGACGCAGCAACGCCGCGUGUGGGAUGACGGCCUUCGGGUUGUAAACCGCUUUCAGCAGGGAAGAAGCCGCAAGGUGACGGUACCUGCAGAAGAAGCACGGCUAACUACGUGCCAGCCGCCGCAGUAA